This 599-nucleotide ribosomal RNA is filed under the name Micromonospora sp. MP38-H11. RNAcentral's name for it is "bacterial SSU rRNA". It matches the Rfam family "Bacterial small subunit ribosomal RNA", at positions 276 to 885 of the family's 1533-position model. Lineage: Bacteria; Bacillati; Actinomycetota; Actinomycetes; Micromonosporales; Micromonosporaceae. The record is from RNAcentral.
ACGACGGGUAGCCGGCCUGAGAGGGCGACCGGCCACACUGGGACUGAGACACGGCCCAGACUCCUACGGGAGGCAGCAGUGGGGAAUAUUGCACAAUGGGCGGAAGCCUGAUGCAGCGACGCCGCGUGAGGGAUGACGGCCUUCGGGUUGUAAACCUCUUUCAGCAGGGACGAAGCGUAAGUGACGGUACCUGCAGAAGAAGCACCGGCCAACUACGUGCCAGCAGCCGCGGUAAGACGUAGGGUGCGAGCGUUGUCCGGAUUUAUUGGGCGUAAAGAGCUCGUAGGCGGCUUGUCGCGUCGACCGUGAAAACUUGGGGCUCAACCCCAAGCCUGCGGUCGAUACGGGCAGGCUAGAGUUCGGUAGGGGAGACUGGAAUUCCUGGUGUAGCGGUGAAAUGCGCAGAUAUCAGGAGGAACACCGGUGGCGAAGGCGGGUCUCUGGGCCGAUACUGACGCUGAGGAGCGAAAGCGUGGGGAGCGAACAGGAUUAGAUACCCUGGUAGUCCACGCUGUAAACGUUGGGCGCUAGGUGUGGGGGGCCUCUCCGGUUUCCUGUGCCGCAGCUAACGCAUUAAGCGCCCCGCCUGGGGAGUACGG